RNAcentral lists this long non-coding RNA (573 nucleotides) under Vulpes vulpes (red fox). RNAcentral describes it as "lncRNA (ENSVVUG00000015347.1)". Lineage: Eukaryota; Metazoa; Chordata; Mammalia; Carnivora; Canidae. The record is from RNAcentral.
GGAGUGGUGGUCUGUGUGCCAUGCUCUGUCAUCUAUUCUUAAAGUUUUUAUAAGAACUUUUGGCAUUUUUUUCACAGAUUUUUUUUUUUUUUAGAUUUAGCUAGCCAGAGAAAAAUGGCGUUCCUUCUUUCAGAAGUUUUUGGAAUGUAAUGAUCCUUUACCACCACCCCAGCUCAUUGUCUUCAGCUUUGGCACAGGCUUCAACCGUGAGGAAAUGUCGUUCAGAUUUGGUCAACACCUCAUCAAGCCCUCUGUGGUUUUUCUCAAAACAGAACUGUCCUUUGCUCUUGUGAACAGGAAACCUGUGGUACCAGGACGAUUUACCUUUGAGCUUCAGGCCAUGCUGUGAGUGAAAGAGAUGGGCCGGUCUGACCAUGGUUAUGCAUUAAAGGAGGGAAAUAUAAAAUACAACUGGCUCUUUGAGUAGAGCUUUUAGAAAGUUCCUGCAUUCUCUCAGAAUUGCACAAAGCCUUUAGAAUCUCUUUCACAACAGGAAAAAGCUAUCUUUACAAUCUGCCUUUCUAUAGAAAAUAUAAAUCUGUUGAUGUGUGAGUGUGGAGAAGGACAGUUAGG